AUGCUCACUUCAGCAGCACAUGUACUAAUAUUGGAACGAUACAGAGAUUAGCAUGGCCUCUGCGCAAGGAUGACACGCAAAUUUGUGAAGCGUUCCAUAUAUUU
Molecule: small nuclear RNA, 104 nt
Organism: Octodon degus (degu)
Lineage: Eukaryota; Metazoa; Chordata; Mammalia; Rodentia; Octodontidae
Source: Ensembl